RNAcentral lists this unclassified non-coding RNA (1640 nucleotides) under Portunus trituberculatus (swimming crab). RNAcentral describes it as "zinc finger protein 888-like, transcript variant X6". The record is from RNAcentral. Lineage: Eukaryota; Metazoa; Arthropoda; Malacostraca; Decapoda; Portunidae.
AACGGCGCUCAUCCUCUCCCGCUGAUGGACCCCCUCAUCCCUCACCCCAUUACUACCUGCGACCCGCGCGCCAUCUGUUAGAAGCGAAGCUCCCUAAUCAAUUCCUCCAGCCCGCCCAUUGAACCUGUAUAUCCUCCCUAGAAUCCUUGAUUGAGACCGUGUAUCCUCUUGAUAAAGAAACCUUGGCGGGGGAGGACGAGCGUCGAUUCAAAGUAAGGAUUCUAUACUAAGUCUUGUAUAUUCCUUGAUUCAAACAUGGGAAAGAACACAAGCCGCAGCAGUUGUUGCCUUUGUGGCAAAAACAAGAAAACGCAUCCAGGGUUGAAGCUUCACGCAUUCCCCGAGAACGCUAAAAGAUGUUUGGAAUGGCAGAGGGUGUUGAAGGUGAAACUCGUGAAGAGGUCACAAGCCAUCUGUGGGGACCACUUUGAUGCAAAGUGGAUCGGGACCAAAGGGCAGCUACUUUCCAAUGCUGUCCCGACCCCCAUAGAUGGCUGUGAAGAAGACGAUGCCUCUUACACGGAAUAUUAUGAAGAUGACAUCAUCGAUGCCCCUGAGAUGAGGAACGCAAGCCUCGUUUCAAAAGAGCUGCCAUUCAAUCAGAAAUGUUCCACAAAUGAUGAGCACCUGGUCCCUCAGGCUACACAGUGCCACACCACAGGAAGGCAAGACUCAUUACAUCGACCAUUUUGAGACGUCUGUGAUGAGCAUCUAUGAUUUCUGCGACUACUUUCCAUCAGAAAUCAUUAUGUGUUGUAGCUGAAUCGAUGGGCACAGCAACACAUCCAGAAUAUAUAGGAUAAUUUUUAAGAGGUCCGAGAGAAUUAGCCAAAAGAAUGGAAUAAAUGUCUUGAAACCUCCCUUUUAAAUGAAGUCAAGGCCUAAACACAUUUGUGAUUUGUUGAUUCUACCUUAACUAGCUUUGCAAUUAGAGAGAGAGGGAGAGAGACUAGAGUGAAGGAGUAGAGGAAGAAGGUUGAAUAACAGAAGGCAGCAUGAUGUCACAAAAGUGAAGCCAGUGCUAUUGGUCCAUUGCUGUCCCUACCUUGCUGACAUCCAAAACAUUGCCGACUGUCCACUGAAAAUACAAGGGAACGUCCGAGUUACGCUUCUUAUUUUCCAUCUUAUGUCCAUCUUUCGAGGCUACCUAUCAUAUAUAUCACUUAAAAGACUCGUAAUAGUCAUGGCAUACCAUGGCAUGAAGAUUUAUGCAGUAAAUCAUACUUACAAAUGAGAUAAUACAGUGUUUUCCAGCUUUGAUGGACUGGGGUGAGAGGUGUGGAAGCUGUCUUUAAGGCAAAUGUAUGACUGAACAAGGUCAUGUACACAUGCAAAUAUACAUGUGCAUGUAGAUAUAAACAUGUACAUACACAUGUGUAUAUAAAUGAAGGAUGAAUAAAUUGUGUAUCAGGUGAAAGUUGGCCUGAAGGUUGAUUUUUCUAGGUAUAUUGACUAGCAAUUAAUUAUACACAUGUUAAAUACUUUCUCUCUCUCUCUUUCUCUUUAUAGCUUUUAUUUAGAAUUAUGUUUGAUUUUGUGUCACUGUACAUUGGAAAAACAUCAAUCACUGAAAUUUUACUUCGUUGUUUGUUCCUUGUCAUGUAAUAAAUGAGAAAAAGCAAUUUUUUUGCCAUAAGUUC